This 918-nucleotide ribosomal RNA is filed under the name Triticum aestivum (bread wheat). Its description in RNAcentral is "partial small subunit ribosomal RNA". Lineage: Eukaryota; Viridiplantae; Streptophyta; Magnoliopsida; Poales; Poaceae. The record is from RNAcentral.
AUGCAAGCUAAGCAACCUCGUAAGUCUCACACGACUGAGGAAAUAAGAAAUCUUGCACCACUAGAGCUCAUACAUUCAGAUCUAUGUGAAAUGAAUGGUGUGUUGACAAAAGGUGGAAAGAAAUAUUUCAUGACGUUAAUUGAUGACUCCACUAGAUGCUGUCAUGUGUAUCUUCUGAAAUCUAAGGAUGAGGCUUUGAACUUUUUCAAGAUCUACAAAGCUGAAGUGGAAAAUCAACUUGAUCGAAAAAUCAAGAGGCUUAGGUCCGACCGUGGUGGAGAGUAUUUUUCCAAUGAGUUUGAUGCUUUUUGUGCGGAACAUGGUAUAAUCCAUGAGAGGACGCCUCCCUACUCACCUCAGUCAAAUGGGGUGGCCGAAAAAAAGAACCGUACUCUAACUGAUUUGGUUAACGCCAUGUUAGACACAUCGGGUCUCUCCAAGGCAUGGUGGGGGGAGGCGAUAUUGACAUCAUGUCAUGUCCUGAACCGAGUCCCCACAAAGAACAAAGAGAUAACUCCAUUCGAGGAAUGGGAGAAGAAAAGGUUAAAACUCUCUUAUCUGCGAACAUGGGGUUGUUUGGCGAAAGUCAAUGCUCCAAUUUCAAAGAAGCGGAAGCUUGGACCAAAGACUGUGGAUUGUGUUUUCCUGGGAUAUGCUUUUCAUAGCAUUGGCUAUAGAUUCUUGGUUGUAAAAUCUGAGGUACCUGACAUGCAUGUCGGUACGAUCAUGGAGUCGAAUGAUGCGACUUUCUUUGAAGAUAUCUUUCCCAUGAAGGAUAUGGCUACCUCAUCUAAUCAGAAGAUGCCUAGUUCAUCGAAUCAGGAACCAGUUACAAUUACCGAACCCACAAUUUUGAUGGAACACUUUGAAAGUCCUGUGGAGGAGAACAAUGAAGUUCCUAUUAUGAGCAAGAGAUAG